UUUUUAAAUAAAUGAACCUGAUUUGAUUUUUGCUAGCAGUUCCUGUGAGAAUUCCUGACUUGUAUUUGCUAGCAAGUGGAAAAACUUUGACAGUGGAAGUGCUUGGAAAUACUUUGUAAUUUAUGUUCACAUUGCUGGUUUAUUAAAGUCUUUUUUUUUUUUUUAACUGGGGAAACAGGCAUGUAGAAGUUGACAGCUGUGUAUCUAUUACACUAACUCUAGUUUGUGGCAUCUUUUCAAUACUUGUGUUUUUUUUCUUGGCUGAGUUUCACAGUAUUAAUAGAUUGUAUAGCUUUUUUAUUUUAAACUGGGGAUGGGGGGGACAGGCAUGUAGAUGUUGACAGCUGUGUUUAUUACACUAACUCUAGUUUGUGGCAUCUUCUUAAAUACUUGUUUUUUUUCUUGGUUAAGUUUCACAGUAUUAACAGAUUGUACGGCUUGAUUUUUUUUUUUUUUUACUUCAAAUUUACCAGUGUUUUUUUUAUUCUGUCCUUUUUUUUUUUCCAGUUUCAUGUCUGUAUUUUAAUAUCAUAUAUAUAUAGAUGUGGCUGCAAAUAGUUGUUAGUUUCUGCAUUGACUGAUGAUUCUAAAAUGUCACUCAGCGGUUUCUCAAUGUCGUCUUUAGGAUACAACUAACAGAUUUUCAGUUUACUAUAACAGACGUGAAAACAAAAUAUACUCAUGAGAAGCUGCAAUCAGAAUUUCUUUUCAAAAAAUAUUAAAAUAUUUGACGACUAAUCCUUUUCGUGCUACUGUCAAUAUUAAUUAGGUCAUUUAACUAUUUAUAAUUUCUAUCUUGAGUUGCUAAUUAGUUGAGCUAAAUGAGUCCAAUUUGACAAAUUUGUCUUGAUUCUAAAAGUUGUUAGCAGUGACCAAAUUUGAGCUAAAAUUAGGAUUCGUUCAUAAAUGUUCUCCAUUUGUCCUUUAAAUAGGAACUUUUUGGAAUGAAGUUUGGUUUGAAGGUUCACUCUAGACCUGCAACUAUUUAAAGCGAUUAAGUAACUUUUAAAUAAUCAGCUAUUUAAGCUCUAAAAUGUCAGGAAAUCUUAAAAAAAAGACAACUCCAUGCAUUGUAAAGCAGUUCUUAAUUCCAUCUUCAGAGCUUAUUUUAAGACCUCACAUGAACCUCCGGUCAGUUAUGUGGAAGGCCAAGCAUGUCGGAAUAGGUUGUAAAAAUAAACUAUCCUGGAGUAUUUUACUUUAUAAAUAAACGGUGCUUCGCAAACGGCUUUCGUUGGGCGAGGUCAUCUCUGAACUGCAGAGAACGAGGUCAAGAGUCGACUCGUAUCAUAAGAUGGCAAGGCUUUUCUCCUUCCCCUUCUCCUCUGUGUUCAAUGAUGGCUGAGCUCUAAGAAAACAGAUCAAAACGCAAAAGGAUCACGCUGUGGUUUGCAGAACCAGACAAGGAUCCAUCUGGUUUUGUGAAUCGGCAGAUCAUGUGAUUGGGACAUCAAGCAGCCAAUUCUGACAUGUUUUGGGGAUAAUUGUAAGGAAAAACAUAAUAGACUUUGCUGCAUAGGAGAAAUAUAAAAGCUAGUUAAUCUAAAAAUCCUGAGUAUUCAGUUGAACUGCAGGCAUUGUUUACAGAGCAGAUAAGAGGCUGAGGAAAAUAAAAACCAGAUCAAUAAAAUUAAUGCAGCCGGGCUCAGACUGAACAGUGGCAUAUCUAUGAAAUUGUGUGCAGAGAAGAGCUAAAAGGCAGACUUUUUAGAAGUUGUAAAAAUUUAGUUUAACAUUUGACAAACAACCCCAUAGAGAUUAAGAUAAAGGCAAGGCAAAUUUAUUUAUAUAGCACUUUUCAACGACACGAUUCAAAGUGCUUUACAAAGACAUUAAAACAAAAGAUGACAAUUAUUAAAAGAAAAACAAAAGAAAACCUUUAUGAAAUUGUUUUAAAAAAAUGGUCAGAACAGUAAAAAGAUCAAAAACAGAAGUCAGAAAACAAGGGCUGUUUAAAAUAACUGUCAUAAAAUAAGAGUUAAAAUAACUGCUAAAAGUAACUGUCAUAAAAUAAGAUUUAAAAUAAUUUAAUCAAAAGCAACUGAGAACGGGUACGUCUUCAGAAUGGAUUUAAAUGUGUUCAGAGUUUCAGCUGAUCUACAGUUUUCUGGGAGUUUGUUUCAUAUAUAUGGGGCAUAGAAGCUGAAUGCAGCUUCUCCGUAUUUGGUUUUACUCUAGGAACUUACGAGAAGACCUGAUCCAGAUGACCUGAGUGGUCUGGGUGGUUCAUACUGAGUCAGGAGGUCUCUGAUGUAUUUUGGUCCUAAACUAUUUAAAGCUUUGUAGACCAGCAGCAGGACUUUAAAAUCUACCCUCUGUGUGACAGGAAGCCAGUGUAAAGACUUUAAAACUGGAGUGUUAUGAUCUAUUUUCUUGGUUUUAGUGAGGACUCGAGCAGCAGAGUUUUGAAUCUGCUGCAGUUGUUUGGCAUGUAGUGACUAAAACAUGGAGAUUCAAAAUUGCAAAAUGAUAGGAAAAUAGCAAACAAAAGCAGUAUAAACUGUAAAUGGUUAGAUAACUUGGUAUGUACAGCCACCAUGUUCUUUGUUCUUGGUAACUUGUGGAUACUUUGAAAAUGUUGGUUAUACCAGUGUUGCUGUUUUUUCUGAUGUCUUUCUGUGUUAUUGCACAAAAGAAAUGUCUAAGUUCUCUGCACUUCUGAUCAUUGAGAUUCUGGCAAUGUUUAAAUCAGGAAGUAAAUUGUGUUCAGGCAUCUUUGUUUUUCUUAUAUGCUUGUCUGUGCGAAGAACUUGUGUAUCUUCAAAUCAAAUAUUCAGCCUUGCUGGCCUGCUGCAGGUUAUUGGACUCUUGAUUAAAAUCACAUGAAACUUGAACUAACUGGGACAAUUAACAAGCUCUACUUGCACAAUGCUCGCACUGGACUUUUAGUGACUGUUGCAUCAUCUCUGCCAAUUGAUGGACUUUCUGGCCGACAUUUGGAUCUCGUGUGAACUUUUUGCAUUUUAAUGACAUGGAAUUUUGCUUUAGCAGGGGAUGUCCCUAGGUUUAAUGUCCUAAAAGUGGGACAGACUCCUUUCACAGGCUGGAUGACAAGAGGACCCACGUCUGGUUGGAGAGCUGUAGGACGGAGAUGAGGCCAUUGUUGGAGGAGUUGACCUGAUGGAUGAGGAUGGAGGCUGCCACUCAGAAGAUGCUGAGGAAGACGAAGGCCUGACGACGACGCCUCUGUGACCCACUGAUGUCUACAGAUGUCUAUUCUUGGAAAGAAGACCUACCUGAUCUCAGAGUGCAUCCCUUUGAUCUACUAGUGCAACUCUUUACAGGCAGGCCUCCCUGCUUGCACGGUCAAACCUCUGGAGAUGAUCCUGAACGCAGCAGCACGUUUGGUUUUCAACCAAAAUGGCCCAUUACCCUGCUGUUCAGAUCACUUCCCUGGCUUCCGGUUGCUGCCCUAAAAUUCUAAGCUGACGUUUGCAUUCAAAAUUACAAUAAAAUGGCUCCCGCCUACUUGAAGUCUA
Acanthochromis polyacanthus (spiny chromis) is the source of this 3479-nucleotide long non-coding RNA. RefSeq lists it as uncharacterized. NCBI's taxonomy places the organism in Eukaryota, Metazoa, Chordata, Actinopteri, Pomacentridae. The transcript has 2 exons. The record is from RefSeq and is a predicted model, not a curated record.